Molecule: long non-coding RNA, 579 nt
Organism: Rhododendron vialii
Lineage: Eukaryota; Viridiplantae; Streptophyta; Magnoliopsida; Ericales; Ericaceae
Exons: 3
Source: RefSeq, a predicted model, not a curated record
AGGAAAUACAAUGACACGAGUUCCUCCUACUGUUUCUACAAGGAAGAGGAAGGCUGAGCAAACUUUAACUUUGGAAAGUAAACGAGGCAAAACACGAGGGCGAGGCCAGAGGCAAGAGGUUGGGGGUGAGGAGGAUGUGGUGGUUGAGCAACAUCGUGAGCAAAUGAAACGAGUUCCUCCUACCGUUUCUGCAAGGAAGAGGAAUGCUGACCAAACUUUAACUUUGGAAAGGAAACGAGGAAAAAGUCGAGGAUAAGGACAGAGGCAAGAGGUUGAGGUACAUCCGGAGGUAGAGGAGGAUGUCGAGGUUGAGCAACAUGCUCAGGUAGAGAACGAUGUAGAGGUUGAGAUACAUUCGGAGGUACAGGAGGAUGAGCCACAUGCUGUUCUACGGGAGGAUGAGCCACAUGAUAAUGUAGGGGAAGAUGAGCCACAUGUUGAAAUUUGUGAGGAUGAGCCACAUGUUGAUGUAUGGGAGAAUGAGCAUGAGUCCGUUCAACAAGAGGACGAGGAAACGACACAAGCCAGAGGACGGGGGAGAGGACGAGAGAGAGGGCGUCAGGCGAGGCAAGAGGAGGU